GGAGCGGUGGCCGAGUGGACGAAGGCAACGGUCUUGAAAACCGUCGACCCGCAAGGGUCCGUGGGUUCGAAUCCCACCCGCUCCG
RNAcentral lists this transfer RNA (85 nucleotides) under Acidimicrobiia bacterium. Its description in RNAcentral is "tRNA-Ser". It matches the Rfam family "tRNA". From Rfam's summary of the family: Transfer RNA (tRNA) molecules are approximately 80 nucleotides in length. RNAcentral also lists the same sequence under 4 other names. The record is from RNAcentral. Lineage: Bacteria; Bacillati; Actinomycetota; Acidimicrobiia.